Molecule: long non-coding RNA, 44226 nt
Filed under: Vitis vinifera (wine grape)
Lineage: Eukaryota; Viridiplantae; Streptophyta; Magnoliopsida; Vitales; Vitaceae
Description: long non-coding RNA (VVIN_LNC000328)
Source: RNAcentral
GGGAGACACGUGCUUUUCCUUAAACGAUAUGCAAGAACCAUAUUUUAUUUAAUUAAAAAUUUUAAAAAUAUUUUAUUCAUCCCUGUCUUCAAUAGAAACAUUUUUAAAAUACAAUAUCCAAACAUAAAACUCAAUCACUUCUACCCUUAAUGCAAAAGUUAAAAGCUAUCCCAAACAAGGCUUUAAGUCUGCAGCAAAAGCAAUUAUUAAGUAUCACCACUACAAUGGAGUGAAGUGGCAACUAUCUAACUACACAGAAAUCUGUUUUUUACUCUACAUUAAAACAAGAGAACAACUAACAGAUAGUGAAGUUUUCAACUUCUCUAAAUGUGGGUUUUAGAAAAUAAAGAACAAAAGGGCAUAUGGGUGUAGUGAAAGUUACAAUGCCAUCUGAAUUUUCCCAAUCCUUUUCAAGAAAUUGCCCAAACAACUUCCCACAUGUGUUUUCACCCCACCUUCUGGAGAACCUGCACCCAAAACCAAAAAUCAAGAAUCAGCUCUCACUUUCUAGAAUUUCAAACCAAACCCACAAUUUUUAAAAACUUGCCAAUCUAAUCCUGCCAAUUUUCCCGGGAACCAAACAGUUCAAAAGGUUUGAAUUGUGUCUCUUGCACUGACAAUUCAAAUAAAAUACUAUCAUGGGAUGCCAUAAAAUGAAGUUACCUUGAAAAAACGAGACGUGGGUAUUGAUGGGAAAGCUUUGAAUUGUGUUCCUUGACGCGAGAAUUCAAAGAAAAUAAGUAAGAACUGAAGAAUUUGGGAGGUUUGGGACAUGGAGAAUGAAGUGAAUGUGUCCUCAGAACGCUCUCCGAGAGCGUUAUGGUUCGCAUUCUCUCUCUUCCCCUCCCUCCCUAGUGGUAGCUUUUGAUGGAUAAGCUAUCUGGGCAAAGCGCCACCACCUUCUCACCUUCUAUCUGCUUUGAAAAUUAACCGAAUUUUGCUUUUUAAAUAAUAAAAACACCUUUCACCAGAUAUUUUUGUAAAACAUUUUCUUUCAGAGCUGCAUCGGGCCCAAGAUGUCCCCUUAUAGGUAAGUUUGGGCCAGGCGUUGUAAACCAAAAUUGGACCUUUCUGAGCCCAAUUUUGAUCCAUAAAGUGGAUGGCCCAGGAUAGCCUCGCCCAUGUCUACCAAAGGAGUAAACGUAUUUUUAGCAAGGAUGAAAAUAUCGGUAAUCACGGAUAUAUCGGUCUUUAAUUUUACGGAUAUAUCGGUGGAUAUUUUGGAAAAAAAUAUCGAUAAACCUAAAAUUAAUCAAAAUUUAUAAAAAUAUAAGAAAAACUUCAUAAAAAUGUAAUUAGAAGUAUAAUAGAUAUUUUAAAAUUGUUUAAUUAAAGAAUUUGAUAUAUGUAUAAUAUGAUUUAUCAUAUUUGAUAAUAAUAUCGUAUACAUUGAUAAAAAUAUGAAUUUUAUAAGUAUACAUUUAUUAUUAAAUUAUAUUAUAAUAUGUCUAACUUAAAAAUAUAUAUUAAUAUUAAAAUUAUGAUCUUAUUUAAUUCAAUUGUAUUAAAUAAUAUAAAAUAAAUUUUGAUAUAUGUACAAUUUUUAAUAUUUAAUUAAUUCAUUAAUGAUAUUGAAAACAUUAUGAAGAAAAUUAUCAUGAUAAUUUUUAUAUUUUUGGUAAUCAAUUAAAAGAAAAUUUUUUAUUUAAUUAUAAAAUAAUUAUAUUUAAUUUGCCCUCUAAAAUAUUCUUUACAUGAUGACUUUAAAUAUAUAUUUUAAGUACAACUUAUUUAGCGAAGGGCAGGCUUGCCCUGGUGGUUGGAUGUGUUGAACCCCAAACUUUUUGUUUGGAGUUCGAAUCCCUUUAACAGCACAAGAGAGAUAAUUUUGAGGGUGCAUUGUAGCACGCCUUGAGAAAAAUCGCCGAUUUUUUCAUCGCGAAAUAUGGUGUCGCCCACUCCCAAUCGACAUUUUCCUCUUGAUUUUUAGCAUUGUUUUUUUGGGUAAAUUAUAAAAUCAUCCUCAUACUUUCACCCAUAUUUCAAACUAACUUCUAAACAUUUUUAAAGUAAUCUCAAACGUCAGCCCUAUAAUAUAUCCAAAUUAAUAAUUAAUGUUGAAUAGGGUUAUUUUGUUAAGAUUUUUUAAAUUAAGAAAUUCAUAUAACAAACCAUAGACAAAUUAGACGCACCCAAGCUUAUCAUAUAAAAACUCAUCCAAAUGUAUAUGUAAUUAUCAUAUGAGUUUUUUCCAUCAAUUUUCGAAGGAAAAUCUUUAAUAAAAUGGACUAUUUAGGGGUGACAUUGCUUAAAAAAAAGUUUAAGAGCUAAAUUGGAAUAUGAGUACAAAGAUCAUUUUUAUAAUUUACCUUUCUUUUUUUUAAUGAUUUUGAUGGUAUUUUUGGUAAUAUAAAACAAAUAAUGUGAUUUUUUGGGACACCACAUGUAGCACAGCAAAUCCAAUAUUUGCUUGAGAUGAUUUUUUAGACUUUAAAAUUUUUUAUUAAAAGUUUAAUUUUUGUAAAGAAAAGCACUUAUAAGCCUUAUAAAAUUACUGGGAUGAUUGGAUUUGUUUUCUAAACUUUUUACUUAAAACAAUUUGCUUUGACUUAAAUAGAAAUAAAAUUAUUAACUUAAUGUGGUAUUAAGCUUUCUUUAUUUUUCUUCGUGUUUUACAAAUACAUUCAAGAAUAAAAUCCAAAUUAGAGAUUCUUCAUAAGAAAGUGAACAAAGAAGUACCACGAGAUAAUCCAUAGAUUAACUCACUACAUACCAUCAUCAACUGAAAUAAACCAAAAAAAAUAAAAUUGCAAACCUAAAUUCAUUUUCUCACCAAAUUUAAAAAGAAAAACUAAAAAAAUAAAAUAAAGAACUUGUUACCAACACUCAUACAACUUGACAUCAACCCUAAGCCUGAAGUAAACUUCUCCCUCAAAAGCAUCUGUCAUCAAGGUGGCAAUCCCUCUAGCCAUGAAGAAGUCACCAGUGCCACCAAUCACUGAGAUGUCCCUGGUCUUGUUCAUCAACGGAUCAGCCCCAGCAAAGUUUAUGCUUCCCUUAUGGUAGGUGGAGUUGAAGACAAAGGAGAAGCCAAUCCAAGCUGUGAAAAUGUCCUUCUUGUCAUAGAUAUAGAAGCCUUGAGCUCGACCAACUGGGGUUGAGUGCAGGUUAUUGUCCAGAGUAAUGGGGUCAUCAAACACCACCAAGUCACCAAAAUGGUUUUUUCCGGCCAAAAUGGUGGUGUUGGCCCAAGCUGGUGCCCCCACAAUGGCUGCAGUUGCAUUGUGGGAGUUCUGGCCAUUGUAAAUGAUGUCAUGGAAGUAAAACACCAGCCUCUUGCAGGGGCGGCGGUGCUUGAUUCCCAGGCUGGGUGUGGCAGUGGAGGUGGAGAUGGAGAUGAGGAGGAGGAGGAGGAGAAGGAGGAGAGCUGAACUGACCUUUGUAUGAGCUCCCAUUUCUAGUGAAUUCUAUUCAAGAAGUGUGUGACAUAUUGCAUAGGUCUCAUACUUAUUGUUUAUAAAGGGUGUCCAGGUGAAGUUUAAUUCUUUGAUAAAAUAUGGUUGAAGGUUGGUUUUAUGUAUCUUAUCCUUUGAUUUAAUAAGUCCUCGACCCCCCUCCAUGAUGACUUCGUGGCCACGACUAACAUGAUAGCAUGAUCAUUUGAGUACAGCAUGCUUCAGGACCCCUAGAAUAUCCAGACUCUAUCCUACUGACUCAAAAAAUUAAAAAUGAUGAGAUCAAGCUGUUGUGGUACUGGAGCAACUUGGCUUCUAAGUCUCAACCAAAUGAUGAUUUUCGGAAUGAUUUCUCGAAAAGUGUGACGUCAAAUUUUAUAAAAAGAUUUAGGUUAUUUGAUUGCAUAUAUGAUGAUCAAAAUCCAAUUCAUAAAUUGGUAUCCUGAGUCAAGAUCAUAUCUUCAAGUCAAAGCCUCAUGUUGGGAAAAAAGAUUGUUGGGCAGCAACAAUGUCUCUUUGGCUGAAGUCUAUAGGAUGUGAUUUUUACUGGAUAUUAAUUGGUUUUUAAACGUGAUUUUUAUUGGAUAUUAAUUAAUUUUCAGAUGAGAUGUUGAACGAGAAUUUCCAAGGUUUUUUUUUUUUUUUUUUUACACUAAUGAAAAUUACUCCAAUCACAAUCAUUUCCAAGUAAUGGUUUCAUCCAUUAUUUUCAGCUCCAUUACUACUUUUUCCCCUCAAUGUCUCCCUCUUUUGCACAUUCACCUACCUCUAUUAUCUCACCAUUUUUCCACAUUUAGCUGCGAUGGACCCAUUCUGAAAUUAUAAUCGAUGAUUAAAAUGGGUAAACUCAGUGAUGAUUAAGGCUAAGAUGCAUGCAUCACCAGAUUCACCACCUAACUCAUCACCGGAUUGUGUUGGUUGGUAACUAACUCCAUGUGACCUAAUCAGAUUUUGUAGCAGGUGAGUCCUCCUAGUACUACAAGACAAAGAGAAUGGUUGGUGCUAUUCAUGAUAUAGACACCAUAAAUGAGUGGUUCUGGCACACCCACUGCCCUUGCUUUAAACACCCAGUUUGUCAAAAUUGUGAUAAUUGUAUGUAAAGUUGACCUCAGGAAGGUGAUGAUGGAGAUCCUCUCAAUUCUUUUUUGUAAUUUAUUAUAUUUUCUCAUGAAAUUGAGAAAGUUAUUAAGAAUAAUUUUAUAAAUAUUUUAAGUGAAAUUUUUCUAUGAAAUAGUAAUAAACUUGUAAAAAAUAUAUAUGGUGGUUAGAGCUGGGAGGAAGAAUAAAAAUGUUGAUUAAGAAAGCUUAUGAUCUAGGAUGUGAAUAAAGGAGUAAAGAAUCAUGAGAUUUUUUGAAAACCCAAAUAAUUAAACAUGAUUCCAAUCAAUUAUUAUAUUCUCCAUGACAUAGUGAAAUGAUUCAUCAUCAUCAUGGAUGCAUGUAUAUUGGAUUAGCCAUAUUAAAACCUAGCGCACUUUUAUAUAGAAUAUUGUUUUAUUAUUGUUGUAUUAACUAACAUUGUUUGCAAGUGAGGGUAAUUUUAUGAACAAAUUCAACAACCGGCACACACCCAAUUGGAUCUUCUUAUAUAGAAAUUAUCAGAUAAUUAGCAUACUAAGUUUGACAGAAGACAAGAAUGAGAGACUCAGAUCACUGGAAGAUAGAAAAACAGGCUAUGGGAUCUGCUUAUGAUCAGCUUAUGCUUACAUUAUUCAAAGCAUGCAUUAUCAGAUAAUUUUAUGAACGAAUUCAACAACCGGCACACACCUAAUUGGAUCUUCUUAUAUAGAAAUUAUCAUAUAAUUAAUUAGCAUACCAAGUUUGACAGAAGACAAGAAUGAGAGACUCAGAUCACUGGAAGAUAGAAAAACAGGCUAUGGGGUCUGCUUAUGCUUGCAUUAUUCAAAGCAUGCAUUGAGCAAGUGGGCGGCCUAAAUCCAAUAGAAGGUAUUUUAAUGCUGAAUGCUUGAUCUUGAAGCUCCAUGACAAUGGCAUCAGUUUCAGCCAUUACCAGCACUCAUACAACUUAAUAUCCACACAGAGCCUGAAGUACACUUCCCCCUCAAACGCAUCAGUCGUCAAUGUGGCUAUGCCUCUGGCCAUGAAGAAGUCCCCAGUGCCACCCACCACUGAAAUAUCCCUAGUCUUGUUCAUCAAUGGGUCUGCUCCUGCAAAGUUUAUACUUCCUUUAUGCUCAGUAGAGUUGAAAACAAAGGAGAAGCCAAGCCAAGCAGUGAAAACAUCCUUCUUAUCAUAAAUAUAGAACCCUUGCGCCCGUCCAACUGGGGUCGAAUGCAGGUUGUUAUCCAAAGUAAUGGGGUCGUCAAAAACAACCAAGUCCCCAAAAUGGUUUUUUCCUCCCAAAAUGGUCUUGUUUCCCCAAGCAGGAGCCCCAACAAUGGCUGCAGUUGCAUUCUUGGAGUUCUUGCCAUUGUAGAUAAUGUCAUGGAAGUAGAAAACCAGACUUCUGCAAGGUCUUCGACCCCGAACCGGGCCCUUCCCCAUUGCAGAGGAUCCAAAGACAAUGAAGAUAAGGAAGAGGGCUGAAAUCAAGUUUUGGGCUCUCAUUGUUUGCUUGUUUGAAGGAGUAUAGAAGCUUGCAAGAAAUGGAAGAAGUGAAUCGUUUAAGUACACGGGAGUUUACAUUAUCCAAUCUCGUUAUAUAUAUAGGUGUUCUAACUGCUUGUUUUAUGACAAAGUAUUUCUGAUGCUUUAACUUCAAGCUUUCUGUUGAUUACUCCUCAAGAAACUAUACACAUUCUUUAAACUGUUAUCUUUCUCUUAGCUUCGUCUCUACUACUCAUCAAUAGAAAUCUAGGACCAUGUAUUGGUUCCCACAUAACGUAAAGUUUCCACAGGGAUGGAUAGAUACAUGAAAAAUGGAAACCAAUGGAUACUGCAGAUAAUUAGGAGUUUGAUUUGCAUGUAUGAUUGCACUUACAACCAUAAAAAAGUAAGCAUAAUUGUGGGCCUUUUUUGCACGGGUAAAAUAAUUUUUGUAAGUAAAUAAAAAAAAAUCAUUACAGCAAAAAUAAUUCUAAAAUUAACGCUAUUCAUGAUUUCUAUGAUUUCACAGUAAAAUUUAUCUUUAUAAAAGAUGGAUCCAAUGUAAAAGGCGAACUCAUCAUUUCAAAUGAUAAGUUUAAUAUAUAAAUUUUCAAUAUAAUCAAUAAAUCCAUAUUUUUAAAAGAGGGUUCAAACUUCAAAUUUCAAACCCAUCUCACAGGGAAAAAAAAUGCCUCAGAGGGAGGAGUAGUCCAUUACCUCUUAUGCUAGGGACACACAAGAGUAAGAAUGGUACCUGUAUAAACAAAGCCUCGAGUGAAUGUUGUCCCUGUUUAAGGGCAGAAAAAUAAUGAUUCAUUUGUGAGACUUUGCUUCGUUUACAUUCUUCUCACUCCACCUUAAAAAGCAUCUAUAUAUACAAGAAAAGCCACAACCUUAUUGUUGUGAGGAACCUGCACCAAGAAGAUGUGUGAUAUCACAAUUAUGGGAUUGUUUAAUUUUAAAAAAAAUUAUAAAAUAAAUAUAAAAAUAUGAUAAAUUUAUUUAUAUUGAAAUUUGAACCCUCUUUUUAUAUUUGCUUGUUUGGAUGGAGUGUAGACUCGACUAAAGUUAAUAGUAUACACAAAUGGAGUUUAAGACUAUAAUAGUAUUUUUGAAGAAAAAAAUGAUCAAAGUAGUUCUUCUCCUAAAAUAUUUGUCAAAUUAGUCUUUACUAUCACAUGCUUAUUCACGUGAUUUUUUUGCUAAUUAUGGUUUUAAAUUUAAAACUAAAAUUGUUACCUUUAUAUACACAAAAUAAAAAAAAUAAAAAAAAUUGAAUUUGGUGUUGUACAAACAUACUAUUUUGACAAAUAUUUGAGAUUAGAUAGUGAAUUUUUUUUUUUUUUUUUUUUCACAAAAAACCAAGUUAAAACUCCUAGGAUGUAGGAUCGCUCUCCAUCUUUGAGUUGGUUAACAAACUCCUACCAACUCAUUAAUAGCCAUCAGAUAUGAUUGAUUAGUACUCAAGUAACAAUAAAAUUGUGCCAAACCCCAGGAAUGGGUCAUUUAAUAGUAUUGAAUGCCAUAAAAAAUUCGACCUUCUUGUUAUUAAACUUAAUCAAACAAUUAGUAUCAAAAUCGAGGAUCAUAGAUUUGAGUCGCAACAAAAUCAUGUGGGGAUUCUAAAGCUUGGAUUUGGGCUGCCUAAUUGAUGGGGAGGAUUAAAAUUUGAGUGAGUCAAUUCACCCAGGUGAAAUUAAUUUACAUCCAAAGCAGCACUUUUACACCUGUCUUCAUCCCAAUUCUCCAUAAGAUAAAUGAGUUAAUGGCACUUUUGCAUCGAUCUUCACCCCCUUAUAGUAAAUGGCAUGACCAUUCCCUCAAACUUUAGGCUGAAUGUCCCAAUCAAGCCAACUUUGCACCUAUAAUAUCGGUUACUGCUCAACCAUGCAUAUACGUGAAAUUCCAUCCAAGGGUAGCAACUUUACAUUAAUUUUCAUCCCCAUGUAAUAAUUGAGUGAAUGAUCUUUUCAAGCAGGCAUGACCAGCUCCCUCAAACUUUAGGCUGAAGGUCCCAAUCAAACCCAAAUUUUCACACCUAUUGGUUAUUGCUUGCAAUCUUAUUCUACUUAAUUGGGAGGACGCCAUUGGCCACUGGGUUGGCAAGAACUCAACUACCCCAUUACAAAGAGAUGAAGGUUUCAUUCUAAGCUCCUAACAUGUUCUUUUUAGUCUGAAAGUUUUAGUUGGUGGGCGCUCCCGAGAAGAGAGGGUGCAAACUUCACUAACCAAUGAUUUUUCAUUUUUAAGUUUCUAACAACGUAUAUGUAGGAAGACUGCAUAAUGGAUAAUAUCUACGUGAAAAAGUUAAGUCAGUAUGUUACAUACAACUAUCUUUUCGUCAUGAAUUGGUUGAGGGAUGAUGAGACAGUCUGAAGACUAUGCAAGCAUCAGCACAUGGUAAAAGUUGAUUUAGUUGAUUCAACAAAUCCUCCUAACGAAUUCAUAAUCAAUCCUUUUGUGGUCAUUUUUCUUUGGUGUAUAACCUUUUUCCACCUUAUGGUCCACUCAAUAUUCUGAGAAAUUAAAUGAGAAGUUGAAAACCUUUAUUUACUAAGCAUAUGCUGAUCAUCAGUACAUUCAUAAUGAAAUAAACCACACACUCCUUAUUUUUUCAUAGUUUUUUCUUAUCUUCACCAGCACUCAUACAACUUAAUAUCAACCCUAAGCCUGAAAUAUACUUCACCUUCAAAUGCAUCAGUCAUAAUAGUGGCAAUUCCCCUAUGCAUGAAGAAGUCUCCUGUCCCACUCACCACAGUAAUGUCCCUGGUCUUCACUAUAAUGGGGUCAGCUCCCAUGAAGUUCAAGGUGCCCUGAAAGUCUGUGCUGUUGAGAACAAAUGUGAACCCCAGCCAAGCAGUGAAGGUGUUUUUGGUGUCAUAUAUGUACAUGCCUUGUGCUCUACCAACUGGUUUGGAGUGGAAGUUGUUGUCAAGAGUAAUGGGGUCAUCAAACACCACCACAUCACCAAAAUGGAACUUAUCUGCCAAGAUGGUAAGGUUUCCCCAUUGGGGUGCACCCACAAUUGCAGAAGUGGCAUUAGCUGCAUUUUGGCCAUUGUAGAGAACAUCAUGGAAAUACAAGACCAUUUGCUUACAUGGUUUGUAUUGCUUCUUCUUGCCCUGAUAGGCAGAAGAAAAAGAGAGGAUGAACAUCAGGAAGAGAAGAACUACCAAACUCCUGGCUCCCAUUCUUCUCCUUUACUCUCUAAAACCCUAAAAAAGGAGGAGAAGAAAAUUGUAAAAGCUAUAGAUGACUGAUCAGCUUGGACUUGUGAGUGGCUUCCUAGCUCUAUAAUUGUCCUUAUAUAAGCAUUUUUUCAAUUGAGUCUUCUGUGGAAGAUGAUGGCUUAAAACAAAAGCUAUCUUUUUCACUUACAGUAUUUCCAAAAGUAAGGCCAAGAAAGAAUUAUUUAGCCGCCCCAUUGGACUUCUCAUCUUUCAAUUUUCUCAAGUCUGCCGAUACACUACCGCACUACCUACUACUUCUGAGUUAUCAGCACCAAGUUAUCCUAACAUUAAUUACACAUUUAACCCUUGUUACAUUUUUACUUCAUUUCCCAAGAGCUAUAACAAGAAAGGGUUUAGGGUUUAGGAUAAGGGAAUCAUUCCUUUUAUGGGAUUGUAAAUAUUCAUUUCACACUCGGAAUGAACUCCAACAUGGGUCUUAAUUAUUUUGAGAAAUCUCAUUCCUCCAAAUUAAGGAAGAUAUCGAUUCCCUUUCUUUUGGGAAUGGGUAUUUGAUAUCGAAUAGGUAUCCUAGAUUAUUAUUUUUUUCCAAAACAUAAUGCAUUGUUUCCAAGGCUUUAUUAUAAUUGUGAGCCACACAUCUGUCAAGUUUGGACAAGAGCAAUGAACUUGAUGAGAUAUAUAUAUAUAUAUAUAUAUAUAUAUAUAUUGACUGUCGAAUUGGAGAAUCUUCCAAGCUAGCUGGCUAUGCUCUUUUUUCCUAGGCCAUUGACAGUGAUCGAACAAGAGUGGAGACUAAAGCUAAAACUGUAGGGUUCCCUGGAAAGGAAUGCAUAAAGUCUGAACCCACCUUCCCAAUAGGUUAAUGCAACCAAAGCUUGGCGGGAUAGUGUGAAGAUUAAAGUGUAUUGGUUUUAGGGAUUAGAAAUGGCUUGGUUGAAAGUAUGUUAUAAUGAGGCAAAUACAAAUGGUAUAGCAUAAAUAUUUUUAUUAAAAAAAAAAAAGAAGUAUUUUUGAAGAGAAAAAAAGGAGGUAAUUUGAUAAAUGAAAUAUUUUCUUAGUAUCUCUAGUUGUAUUGACAAGCCUAGCUAAAGCUUCAUAACCUCAAGUCCCACCAAGCAAACACAAAGAGGAAGGCAGCCCAUGUGACCUCCAAAAAUUAGAAAUUACUUAUGGAGUACCCAUUCUUAUCAGGCGCCUUAGAAAAUAUGAAAUAAAGGCAAGUACAAUUACAUUUAUUUAUUUAUUAUUUAAGGUAAAUAAACCAAUCAUACAAUAAGGUUUGGUUUGAAAUUUAUUUUUUUUUGAAAACAAGAUUGGAAAAUAAUUUUUAGAAGCUAUUUAUAGUUUAUAUGAUAAAAGUCUAUUUGAGAACUCAAAUAUUUUUACUUAUUUUUUUUAUUUUUAAAUAUAUUUUAAAAAUAACUUUUAUCUAUAAUAUUUUAUUUUGAAUUAUUUUUUAUAUCUGUAUAAUUAUUUGUUAACCAUGUAAAAAUAACAAAAAACAAUUAAAAUUUAUUUUCUUAAAAUUAUUUUUUGUUUUUUGUUUUUUAUUUUUUAUUUAAAAUAAAAAAUUAUUUUCGAAGGUAACUUUCCAUGGAACUGUGCAUGAAUUUCAUUUGAUAGUGUCUUAUUUUGGAAUCUUAAUUAACUAUAUUGACAAAGGCAACCACCUAGAAGAGUAGUAUAACCUUUUAUGUCAUUUAGGAGUCGUAAUUUGUGUUGCUAGAUCGUGUUUGUAUAGUAUCAAAACCCGAGUAUUCUAUUACAUAACUCAACCUAAAUCUGACGUGAAUAAAAAUUGUGUCAAAUACUACAUAAUUAUUAAAUAGGUAAUAGAUCAUAUAACUUAUUUAAUCUAUCUAAUAAUCAAGUCUUUAUAUUUAAUAAUUAAGUUGAGUUGGGUAUUAUAUAUGUAAUUAAUGUUUCAACCAAACAUAUUUAUGGUUUAAUUGACUUAUUUUUUGAAAAACAAAUUUAAAAUGAAUGGAAUAUAGAUUAAAUAAUUUAAAUAUGUAUAUAAUUAAAUAAAUAAUAAAAUUAUAAUUAUAUGAGUCAAUUCAGAUUAAAUUUAUAUUGUACAUAUUAAUCCAAAAAUUACUUAUUUAUUAAAUAAAUUAUAUAAAUUUAUAUGAAUUUAACCCAAAUUCAUUCAAUCCUUAUCCAAAUCCUUGAAAAACGUACUGGAUUCCUGUGGUGAUUACUGAAUGUGUCAAACUUUAUCACCCCGUCAUUCAAUAAAAUUUCCAAAUGGGAUAGCCACUUCGCAUGGAAAGAAUUACACUCCGUAUGUUUUUCUGGGCACCCUCGUAAAAGCAAACAGACAAAACAAACCAACGUGCCCAGGAAUUCAAACCAAGUAGACUAGUUUAUAUCCUGUAUCCCAACAUUCAACCGAUCCCAUCUCAUCAGCCUGCACUUUCCUUGAAAUUGUGCGUGAGAAAAAGGAGGAAAAAAUGCCUUGACUCCUGCAAAAAUCCCCAAGAAAAUAAGUGGAGAGAGAAGUACAAAUGGAAACAGUGGAGCAGUUUCCAUGGGGAGAGAAAUAGAGAUGAAAAUUCAAAAUGUUUCUACAUCAAUCAUUGUGGUGAUGGGUUGGAAAAUAGAAGAUGUGGGACUGGAAAGUGUGACCGUGAAAAUUGUAACAUGUUACAUAUCCAAAAUGCCUUUUCAACGCUCGCGUGUGGGAAAAUGUAGGGCCCCAGACCCUUUAACUCCUUUUCACUACGAGCUAGCUAGACUAAUGGCUCAGCCACUCCAUUAUGGAUGGCCUAACUGAUGGGGAGGAUGAAAUUUUGAGUGAGUCAAUAUUCACCCAUGUGAAAUUAAUUUACAUCCAAAGCAGCACCUUCACACCUGUCUUCAUUCCACUUCCCCUUAAAGAUAAAGAAGUUAAUGGCACUUUUACAUCAAUCUUCACCCCCAUAGAGUAAGUGAAAUUCCAUCCACAGGUAGCAACUUUACAUUAAUCUUCAUCCCCAUAUAAUAAUUGAGUGAGGUCCAUUCAAGCCCAAUUUUUCAAUCCUAUUGGUUAUCACUUGCAAUCUUAUUCUACUUAAUUGGGAGAAUGCCAUUGACAACUUGGGUUGGAUAGAACUCAACUACCCCAUUACAAAGAGAUGAAAGGUUUCAUUCUAAGCUCCUAGCAUGUUCUUUUCAAUCUGAAAGGUCUAGUUGGUGGGCUCUCGAGAAGAGAGGGUGAAAACUUCACUAACCAAUGAUUUUCAUUUGUAAGUUUCUAAUACUGUAUAUGUAGGAAAGCUGUAGAAUAGACAAUAUCUACCUGAAAAAGGUAAGUCAUUAUGUUACAACCUACAACUAUCUUUUCGUCAUGAAUCGGUUGAGGGAUGAUGAGACAGGCUCAAGGCUAUGCAAGCAUCGGCACAUGGUAAAAGUUGAUUUAGUUGAGCUAUCAACCUUAAGGAAAGAUGGCUUUUGUGCAUGCAUGGUAAAAGUGGAUUGAUUCAACAAAUCCUCCUAACGAAUUCAUAAUCAAUCCUUUUGUGGCCAUUUUUCUUUGGUGUAUAACCUUUUUCCACCUUAUGAUACACUCAAUAUUCUGAGAAAUUAAAUGAGAAGUUGAAAACCUUUAUUCACUAAGCAUAUGCUGAUCAUCAGUUACAUUCAUAAUGAAAUAAACCACACACUCCUUAUUCUUUCAUAGUUUUUUCCUAUCUUCACCAGCACUCAUACAACUUAAUAUCAACCCUAAGCCUGAAAUAUACGUCACCUUCAAAUGCAUCAGUCAUAAUAGUGGCAAUUCCCCUAUGCAUGAAGAAGUCUCCUGUCCCACUCACCACAGUAAUGUCCCUGGUCUUCACCAUAAUGGGGUCAGCUCCCAUGAAGUUCAAGGUGCCCUGAAAGUCUGUGCUGUUGAGAACAAAUGUGAACCCCAGCCAAGAAGUGAAGGUGUUUUUGGUGUCAUAUAUGUACAUGCCUUGUGCUCUACCAACUGGUUUGGAGUGGAAGUUGUUGUCAAGAGUAAUGGGGUCAUCAAAAACCACCACAUUGCCAAAAUGGAACUUAUCUGCCAAGAUGGUAAGGUUUCCCCAUUGGGGUGCACCCACAAUUGCAGAAGUGGCAUUAGCUGCAUUUUGGCCAUUGUAGAGAACAUCAUGGAAAUACAAGACCAUUUGCUUACAUGGUUUGUAUUGCUUCUUCUUGCCCUGAUAGGCAGAAGAAAAAGAGAGGAUGAGCAUCAGGAAGAGAAGAACUACCAAACUCCUGGCUCCCAUUCUUCUCCUUCACUCUCUAAAACCCUAAAGGAGGAGAAGAAAAUUGUAAAAGCUAUAGAUGACUGAUCAGCUUGGACUUGUGAGUGGCUUCCUAGCUCUCUACUUGUCCUUUUAUAAGCAUUUUUUCCAAUUGGCCCCCCUUCUGUGGAAGAUGAUGGCUUAAGAACAAAAACUACCAUUUUCACUUACAAAAUUUCCGAAUGUAAGGCCCAAGAAGGGUUAGCCUCCCCAUUGGAUUUCUCAUUUUUUCAAUUUUCUCAACUCUACCUAUACACUACCUACUACUGAGUUAUCAGCACCAAGUUUGACCGUAGGGGGAUCCUAACAAUAUUGAUUACACAUUUAACAAUUAUUACAUUUUUACUUCAUUUCCCAAGAGCUAUAACAAGAAAGGGAAUCAUUCCUUUUAUGGGAUUGUAAAUAUUUACCUCACAAUUGGAAUGAAUUUGAACAUGGGUCCUAAUUAUUUUUGAAGAAAAAAAAUGAGGUAAUUUGAUAAAUGAAAUAUUUUCUUAAUAUCUCUAAUUGUCUUGAGUCUUGACAAGCCUCGAGUCCCACCAAGCAUUUACAAAGAGGAAGCCAGCCCAUAUCCUCUAGGGUAGACCCAAAAGUCCUCUCCCCACAGAAUCAAAGAAAUUAUAAGUACCAUGUGACCUAUAAAAAUCAGAAAUUAUAUAUAUCAAUGUGCGUGGCCAAUUAUUCUCUUCAUCACCGACUUGUAUCAUUCCCUUUUCUGGUUGAGUAUUGGUGGGGUUAGGUGUUGAUUUUGAUUUUGGGUGAUGUGGCCCUAGUGAGAAUGGACCGACUUUCUGUUUUUUAAUGGUUGGUAAGCUCCUCUUGUUAAACUUGUACCAUUUAUCUAAAGUUUAUAUCUUUAUAGUAGCUUGGUUUGAAAAUUCAAAGUCAAUAGAAAAUUUAUGGGUGAGAUUGUAAGCCACCAGAAAAUUAGACAUCAAUGUCUAUGAACACGGCACGUUGACUAGGCUAAAUUGAUAUUUUUCUUGAAUUUUAACUUUUUAAAGUAUGAGUCUAUUUAAAGGUAAUUUUGAAUGAUGAAAAGUGUUUUAAUUUUUUUUUUUUAAAAAAAAAUCAUAUCUAAAAGUGCUUAUAAUAUAAAAUCACCCUAAAUCUCCUAAUUUUUGUAGGCUUACUAUAAAUAUUUGAAUGUUUUUUUUUUAUUUAUGGCUACAUCUAUUUUUUUUUUAAUACUAUAUCUAUUUUUAAUUUUUAAAUUAAUAAUAAAAAAAAUAAAAUAAAAUAGCCGAUGAGAUGACAUAAAAAAAAAAAAAACAUUUACUUAAUUUCUACUGACUUUCCUUGAUUAAAUACAUUUCAUUCUCAUCAGAGUUGAAUGAAAUUAAUUUUAAUAUUUAUAAUUCACAUUAAAAUAAAUUUUAUUUAUUUUUAUAUAAUUCAUAAUAGAGUUUAAAAAAUUUUAAAUAAAGAAAAAAAUAAUUUUAUAUAGAUAGAUUUAAUAAUUUUUUUAUAAAAAUAAUUAUAUUUUUUUGGAGUGAAUUUUAUAAAAUAUAUUUAUUUUUAUUUAAAAAAAAAAAACUAACUAAAUAAAAUGAUUAGUAAAGGCGGUGGGUUGGUGAGGAAAAAUUAAACAAGUGAUGUACUAAGCAUAACCAAAAAGUCCCACCUUUCCCAAUGUGGAUUUGUGUGACAUUAAAAAAAAUUAUUUAUUUUAUUUAUGAACAGAAAGAGGUUUAAAAGAUGUAUUAAAUUUUUCAUUCACAUAAUUAUUGGUCAAAUUAAAAAUAAUUUCUAGGUGGAAGACUUUUGAAGUUUCAAAAAGGAAAAUAACGGAUUAGAAUUUGUUUUAAAAGGAAAAUAUCUUAUUUUUUUCAAUAGUCUAAUAAAUUAAUUUUAAUAUAUCUAUGAUUAAAAAAGAAUAGAUUAAUUAUAUUUUUUAAUCCAUUAAAAUAAAUUACUUCUAAUACAAAAAUUAACGAUUUUAUGAUAAUUAAUAGUCCAAUAAAAGAAUAUGAUAAUUUAUAUGACCUUCCAAUAUAAUAUAUUUAUUUGUGAAAACAAAACAAUUUUAAAAAGUAUUUUUACUUUAUUUUUUGGAUUCGAUUUUAGUAAAAUAGAAAUAUGUUAAGAUAUUGAUAAAAGGCUUAAGUCCCAUCUAAUAACUUGAUGGUUUGAAAUUCUGCUUUAAAAUAUUUAUUGAUAUUUUCGAUAUAUUCAUAAAAUUUAAUAUAUUUAUAGCCAUAAAAAAGUGAUUUUAAAAUUAAUAGAAGUAUUUUUUUUAUAAUUAUUUAGAUAUGUUUUCUUUGGAAAUUAUGUGUUUAAUAAAUUUAAAAAAAAAUUGUAAACCAAUGGAGAAAAUAUUUUUAGUUUUUGCUAAUUAAGAAAAAAAAUAUAGAUUUCAAGUGAGAAUUGUUUCUUAAAAAGGGCAAAAAUUGGCUCUUAAAGAGAAAAUAAUUUUUGUUUGGAUUCUUCUUUUUUUUUUUAAAGAAUUUUUAACCAAUCAUCUCUUCAAAGAUGAAUUUUCCUUUUUAAGAACUUUUAGAAAUUGUUUGAAUUUUAUCUAUUUAAAAAAAAAAGAGGAGAAAUCAUCUCUUCAAUAGAAUAAUGCCUUAGAUUUUUUUAUUAUUUAAAUAUAGUUUGACAUUUAAUUUGAAAAAAAAUAAAAUCUAAGGCAUUAUUCUUAUAAAAGAAAAUUCGUCUUUGAAGAGAUGAUUGGUUAAAAAUUCUUAAAAGAAAGAAUCCGAACAAAAAUUAUUUUCUUUUUAAGAGACAAUUUUUGUCAUUUUUAAGAAAUAAUUCUGGUCUGAAAUCCAAUUUUUUUUCCUAAUUAGCAAAAACUAAAAAUAUUUUCUCCACUAGUCUACAAAAUAAUAAUAAUAAUAAUAAUAAUAAUAAUUUAUUAAACACAUGAUUUUCGAAGAAAACAUAUCUAAAUAAUUACAAAAAAAAAAAAACUUCUAAUAAUAUCAAAAUCACUUUUUAUGGGCAUGAAUUUAUAACAAUGUUUAUAAAAAAUUUCAAACACCUCAUUUUUAAUUGUUUUAUUUACAAGAUAAGCCCUACAACCCUCAAAUGGUCAAACUCCAAACAGCCCGAUCGGCCCCCAAGAGCCCGACCGCGCUCCUAAAGCUCAUCAAAUCAAAGUUUCUUCUUCCUUCUGAAGAGUUCCUUUUUGAGUUUUUACCUCCAACCAAAACUACCGACAACAAAUAAUUGUUAAAUUAAUGCAUCUCAACCACUUCAACGUGUCCACCCGAGAAAUCAAACAUACUUAUAUAACUUCGAUAAAGGACAAUCAUAUCAUUAUACGAUCUUUGUAUCUACCUCUAAAAUAUUUAUAAACAUAUUUCUCACAAUUUUUCUUAUUUUUUAAAAAAGAAAAUAUAAUAUUAUAAUAAAAUAUAAAUAUAAGAAAUCUUGUAUGUAGUAUUCUUUUUUUAUAAAAAAAACCUCUAUAUCAAAUUUGGAAUUUGAGACGUUACUAAGAAGGGAGGAGUAUUUUUUAAUGUUUAAAAGUAUUUUCUUAUAAAAAUUGGGUGUUUGAUAAGCUUUUAAAAACGUAAAAAUGAAUGAUUUAUGUAUAAUCACUUGGCUAGUGAUUCUUAAAAUGAUAAUUUUUUAUUUAAUAUAUUAUCAGAAAUUUUUCUUCAAAACUUUUCUAAUGAAAUAUUAUUAGUUAAAAAAUACUAUAUUUAAUUAGAUCACCCUCUAAAUAUGAUAUUGUAGACCCCCCAUGAGAGGGCUUAUGUUUUUUUUUAUUAUUAUUAUUUUUAUAUAUUUCUUUUCUCUGACCACCCCGGGAUUUAUGCUGAUGGGGGCGGCCAGAUUAGAUGGAGAGGCAGCGGGUAGGUCAAGAGAACCAGGCUGGCUGACUGGUGGGUGAUGGGGGGGAGAGCAAGUUGAGGCUUGCUAAGGAAGCCAAGGAGAAAAGGAAGGAGAAGGGGGGAUUCGCAGAGGGAGUUUUGGGAGGGGGAGCAAACAGAAGAGGAAAAAGGGCUUGCCAGCGAAGAAGGAAGAGUAGAGGGAGGUCACGCGGGAGGCUUUCAGGUAAGAAUAUCUUGAACUUGAGGCACCCACAUUUGCUAAUGUCUGGUAUAUUUUCUAUCGAUCUGUGAAUAUGUCUCUGUUGCUUGCUGUGGGCACUGAGGGCCACAGGUGUGGUUCUGAUUGAAUGGGGUCACUUGAACGAAAGGCUCUGUUCUCUUUUGUUGUUUCUCGUUGAUGCCUAUUUUUGUGUACAUGCAUGGCUAUCCAAUGCUCUGCCCAGAAUUCAUUUUUUUAAUACCCUAAAAUUCCCCCGCUCCCGUGCAUGGAGCUUUAUGUACACGGUCGUCUUCGCCCUCUUAUCCUCCACUUCUUCCAUAGUGUCUAUACAUAUCACCUCUCUUCAAGACCCAGCUUCCAGAUUUUCCUUUCCCCCAUCACCUUUUCUCUCUCCGUAUUAUCACCAUACCCAUACCAUGCCCGUUUUCCAUUAACACCUACCCCGGCCAUGGGUUCUACUACCAUGCUUCUCGCCCUAUUCUUCCUCUCCUUGCUCACCAUUGUGCCCAAAGUUCAAGCAGCCUUCACCCGUGACUCCGCCACCAGAUCCGCCACUCGCAGCGUUCUCAUCAGCUGCGUCUCUCCCAGCAGCAGCAGCCGCGCCUUGAGGUCGCGAGCUGGUUCUCCCCGACGCCGGCAUGUGGUUCGCCAUGCAUUGCUCCGACCAGGUGAGCAGCCGCGCCAGUCGUCGCCGACGGCGGCAACGUCUCUUGGUGCCGCCGGCAGUAAGAGCUCCAUCGGAGGGCGACUUCCAGGCGGGAGGAGGAGAUGUGGAGAAGACGAAGGCUUGGUUUUUGGGCUUGGGCUAAGGCUAGGCCCAGUUUUGAGUUUGGUUUUGGGUUUGGAUUAUGAAGGCUUUGGGCUUGGGUUUGAAUUUGGAGCCCAGGCCCAAGCCUAUGCUGAAGAUGGGGCCUUUGACUUGAGCCCAUUUCUAUUAUUGCCAUAAUUAUUAUUAUUAUAUUUUUUUAAUUAUUAUUGUCAUUAUGAUUGUUACUAUUAUUAUUAAUCAUUAUAUUUAUUACUAUUAUUAUUAAUCAUUAUUAUCAUUUAUAAUUAUUAUUAUUAUUAUCAUUAAUUACUAUUGUCAUUGCUAUCAUUAUUAUUAUUAUUAUUAUUGUCAUUAUGAUUGUUACUAUUAUUAUUAAUCAUUGUUAUCAUUAUAUUUAUUAUUGUUAUUAUUAAUCAUUAUUAUCAUUGUUAUUAUUAUUAUUAUUAUUAUCAUCUUUUAUUAUUAUUAUUAUUAUAAUUAAUUCAACAUUUAAAAUAUUAUUAUCAUCAUUAUUAUUAAUUCAACAUUUAAAAUAUUAUUAUUAUCACUAUCAUCAAUCCAAACUUUCAAAACCCUAUAAUUAUUAUUACUAACCCAAAUUUCCAAAUUUAUUUAUUAUUAUUUAUUAUUAUCAUUAAUCCAAAUUUCAAAAGCUAUUUAUUAUUGUUAUCCUUAUCAUUAAACCCAAACCUCCAAGAUCUCAUCAUUAUUAUUAUAAUUAACUCAACUUUCGAAAUUUAUUUAUUGUUAUUAUCAUCAUUAAUCCAAGCUUUCAAAAAUCUCAUCAUUAUUGUUAUUAUUACCUCCACUUUCAAAAUCUUAUUUUCAUCAUUAUCAUUGAUUAAAACUUUCAAAACCUUAUUGUUAUUAUUAAUUCAAACUUUCUAACUUUCAAUUUCCGAGCCCAAUUUAUAAAAAUUCAACCUUCAAAUGAUACUCCAAAAUUCCGAUCUUUAAAACUCAAUUUCGAUUUCCGAAAAUUCUCAUACUCACUUUAAUUUAUUUAAUUAUUAUUAUCUUAUUUAUUUAUUCUAAAAUUCCAAUUUAAAUUAAUUCUUUAAAACUUCUGAUUUCCGAAUUAAAUUCCCAAUCCCAAAAAUUCUCAUAUUCCCACUAAAUUAUUUGAUCAUUAGUAUUUUAUUUAUUCAUUUAUUUCAAAACUCCAUUUUAAAUCAAAUUCUUUAAAACCGUUGAUUUCCGAAUUAAAUUCCCAAACCCGAAAAUUCCAAUAUUCACAUUAAUCUAUUUAAUUAUUUUAUUUUAUUUAUUUAUUCUAAAAUUCCAUUUUAAACAAUUCUUUAAAAACUUUCGAAUUCCGAAUUUAAUUUCUAUUUCUGAAAAUUCUAAUAUUCACUUUAAUCUAUUUAAUUAUUAUUAUUUUAUGUAUUUAUUCUAAAAUCCCAUUUUAAACAAUUCAUUAAAAUUUCCCACUUCCGAUUUUAAUUUCUAAUUCCAAAAAUUCCGAUAUUCACAUUAAUCUAUUUAAUUAUCUUAUUUUAUUUAUUUAUUCUAUUUUAAACGAUUCAUUUUAAAACUUUCGAUUUUCGAAUUAAAUUUCUAUUUCUGAAAAUUCCAAUAUUCACAUUAAUUUAUUGUUAUUAUUUUAUUUAUUUCUUCUAAAAUUCCAUUUUAAACAGUUCAUUUAAAACUUUCGACUUCCGAAUUAAAUUUCUAUUUCUGAAAAUUCCAAUAUUCACAUUAAUUUAUUUAAUUAUUAUUAUUAAACAAUUCGGUUAAAUUUUCCAUUCCCGAUUUUAAUUUCUAAUUCCAAAAAUUCCAAUAUUCACAUUAAUUUAUUUAAUUAUUAUUAAUUUAUUUAUUUAUUCUAAAAUUCCAUUUUUAAACAAUUCAUUAAAAUUUCCGUUUCCGCUAAUUCCAAAAUUCCAACAUUCACAUUAAUCUAUUUAACUAUUAUUAUUUUAUUUAUUUAUUCUAAAAGUUCAUUUUAAACAAUUCAUUAAAAUUUCCAACUCCCAAUUUAAUUUCUAAUUCCAAAAUUCCAAAACUCACAUUAAUCUAUUCAAUUAUUAUUACUUUAGCUCUUUAUUUCGAAAUUCCAUUUUAAACAUCCUUCAAAAUUCCAAUUUCUAAACUUAAUUUCCAAUUUCCAAAAUUUUAAUUUCUUUCAAAUUUAAUAUCCAAAAUACCAAUUCUUAAAUUUAAUUUUUCAAGACUCUAAUCUUAAAAUAAUUUUCGAGACUCUAAUUUCCAAAUAAAUCUCAAAAACCCAGUUCUCUCUCGAAUAGUUUUAAUUUCACCCCGAUUUUUAAAUAAUGUUCUAUUUCUUUUGAUUUUUACACAAGCAAGAAUGAUGAAUCUUCAUAAUUCCGAAAUAAUGGGAUUCGUGAGAUUAAUUCAUGCAAUAUAAAUCGGUUUUUGGUGGGGGCCUAGCAUAUGUGAUUUCCUUAUGAUUGAUUGAUUGUUUGUUUGAUUUAAUUGUCAUGCAUGAUCGGUUUUAUUUCGCUCUAUGACAUGCUCAAAAUUAUUCCUUAAUGGUGCGCUAAUCUCACUUCUUGAUAGCGCUUUAUGGAUCACUGCCCAGGUACGCAUCCACAUCCACCCUAGUCAGUUUCUGUAUGCAUGUUUAGAUUCUCACGUGUGCAUGAUCACUCUGAGUAUUCAUUGAUUCCCUCGUCAAUUGCCAUUGAUUGCUUUAUUUUAUUAGUAGAGACCCGACUUUAGGGACUUAGAGGGGUGCUACGGUCUUUACCGUACCUUCCCGAUAAGUAACCUGACCCCCGAACCCGAUUCGGUUUUUUCACAGACCACCUUUUCCAAAGUAAGGAGUCACACUUAGGGUUUUUCUUUCUUAUUUUGUUUACCCUUUUAAAAAUAAAACAAAAAUAAGUGGCGACUCCGAGUCAACUCUUUUUAAUAAAUAAAAUCAUUUUCAAACCAAAAUCGAGUUUCGCCAUCGAGUGGGAAACGCAUUGAGCCGAAAUGCGGGGUCCACAGAUAUAUUUCAUCUCAACCCGAAGUCAAGAAAAUAAAAGCAAAAAAUCAAAUAGGUAUGAAACUUAGGAUUCCUUUGGAUCAUGGAGAGUUAGGAGCAAGAGAAAGAAAAUAAGUAAAAAAAUAUGACAAAAGUAAAAAUAAAUAAAUAAUAAAAUGUGAGCAACAAGAAUAAUGAAAUAUUAAUGCUUGAAGGAUAGGAUAGGAAAGGUGAGGAGAUCCAAAGAAAAAAGGUAGGAGAGCCGGUGAUACUUGUCCCACAAUGGGGACAAAAGACUUGAAAGCACUUAGAAAGAACUUUCGAGAUGGACCAAAAACUCUAGAAAACUUAUACCCAAAGUAAACUUAGAAUCUGUUUAGUGAUGAUUUUAAGAAGCAUUUUUAAUUUUUUUAAUAUUUAAAAAUUUUUAUUUUUUAAAAUAUUAAAAAUGUUAAAAACGUUUUUUAUAAUCAAUUUCAAACACACUCUUAAACUCAUCGCUCUAUAAAUGUUUCUCAGUUAUACAAUUACUCAAGUUUGAGCCUCAUUAAUCUAUAAAACUCAAUAAGAAAUGCUUUUAUAAAUAAGAAUGACAAGGCGGGUUUAGGAUGCCUCCAUCCCAACCCCGCCCUGUUAAUUCAAAACAAUUCUUAUCCCCUUUCUAUUUAAAAAAUUAAACAGGGCAGGGUGGGACGAGGCGGGUAUUAUAAAUUCCCAUACCCAUCCCAUUUAACUUUUUUUUUUUUUUUAAAUAUUACUUUUAAAAUUUUUAAUUACAUUAAAAUAAAUAUAUUUUAUAAAUAAUUAAAUUAUUAUGUUUUUUACAACUUAUUUUAUUAUUAUCUAUAUAUUAAAAAUAGUAAAAUAAAAAUUAAAUUAAUUUAAUUUUAAAAUUUAAAUUUAAUUUAAUUUUAAAAUUAAUUUUAUAUAUAAUUGAGGCCGGGCGGGACAAAACGGGCCCGAACCUGCCUUGAGUUUUUAAAAAAAAAUCUCAAACUCGUCCUAAACUCGUUUAUUAAAAUUGAACUCCGUCUCAUUAGGGAUGUGAUGAGGCGAAUACAUGAAAAAACUCACGCUAUUGUCAUCCCUAUCUAUAAAUCUAUACUAGUCAACUUUUGCUCUCCAUCAUAUGCUCAUGGAGAUAUAAUGCACUACAUGGUGGUAGACCCCUCAAUGGUGAUGCACCCUUCCUUUCAAUCUUGUCAAAUUGAAAUUAGUGUAUCGAAACCUAUGGAACCUCAAUGAGCCUCUGACUCCAUUCAUCAAACACAUCCAUAAGAAAUGAGAUAAUAGUGUAUGCAAACCAUUAAGUCUAACACCAUCUCAUAGAAAAUCAAUUUGAUGUUAAUACUAUCAAGUAUUAAAGAUGUUAAAACUUUUCGUUGAAUGACUAGAUGAACUUAGUAGAAGUGGACAACUUGCCUUGCCCUAAUAUUUGUAGUCUUUCUUUGAGGUUCCUUGAGGAGCUUAAGUUUAGUUGGGUGGGAUUAAGUUUUUUUUUUUCCCAUCAAAGACAUACGUCAACACAACUAUUGUGAGAGUGUUGAGUUGGUGCCACCCAUUCAAAUGUGGUGAGGUCUAUUGAUGCAGUAAGGGUCAAAAGGUCACCUCCAUGAAUUGAAAGAGGUGACACUAACAACCUAGCUACCCCCUUCCCUUGUAUGAUAAAAGUGAUACCCAAUCACCUAAAUGUGUUGAAGUAUACUUUUUCACCCUUUGUCGUAGGCAAUUAGUCCUGCAAGGAAAAAAAAAAGUUAUAUUUAGCAUAUAUUUCCUUUACUUCAAAAAAAAUGUCUUAAAAGGGCAAUAAUGACAUAUAAACCUUAGGUGAGAGCAAGAUUGACAUUUGUGAAAUUUGUUAAAUGCUACCUUGAAAUAUGAGGAAGCAAACUUUACAUAAAUAUAUAAGUCAAGGCAUAUUUAAUAUGAAUAUAUGUUAUUAUUAAUGUGUUUGACAUAUAACUUAAAAGUGAAGAAAAAACUCAUUUUAAUAUACACACAAGUGACAUCUAACCUAACAUGGGAUACAAUGUUGAGCCCACUUGUGAGAAUAUUAAAUGCAUAAAGUUAUGCAAAUAAAGAAUUAUUGGAAUGAGUCAUUAAUAAUGCAACAUGUCAUAUUACAACAACAUGACAUAUAUAUACGAUAAAUUUCUUUAUACUCAUGGGUAUAAAGAAAGUUUAUCGUAUACUCAUCUAUGAGGAAAAUCCUCUAAGUGUCUACACUUAUGUCAAAUGCAAUUUCAAGUACCUGACAUAAGAUACAUUGAUGAUGAGCCCACAUGUGGAGAUAUGAAUCACAUAGAGUUAUGCAAAUGAAGAACCAUUAGCAAUGCAACAUGUCACCUUACUACGACAUGACAUAAGCUAUGUUCAUAUGGAGUGUACGGAAUUAGGCAUUAAUAAAAUUUAAUAAUUUUUAUGUCAUGUUUUUAGAAUUGUAUCCGCUUGUAUAUGGAAAAUAUCAAAUUUAGAUACAAGAGACUUUAAGUGGAUUUCUUCCUAUUUUAUUUUCCCCUAUAACAAAAGAUUUUGGGAUUCUUUCAUAUUUGAUUUUCUUUUCUUCAUACUUUAUAUAAUCCGAAGGAAGCCAAAGGCUUGCUAACUUUAUAAAGAAAGUUAACAUACUAAAUGAGGAACCUUUAUGUUGAAUUUAUCAUCUCACAGUUUCAUAAUCAAAAUUUUCUUAGUCUAUAAUCUCAUUCUUGAUAAAACCCAUCUUCUUUUAUCUCAUUUGUGUGACUUUUUAUUUAUUUUUAAGUAAAACCCAAAUAGUAAUUUCUUCAUUGAUUUAGGCAUCCAUGGUGGUGGGCUCUUUUCAUACUUUCCUUUAUUUUCCUUUAUUUUCCUUUUUUUUUUUAAUUCCCUUUUAGAAAAUAAUAAAAGAAAUUAAUGCAAUAAAGGUUUUAUGGGAAGAUCAAGAACAUGGGUUAGAACUGAAGUCGGAUACAUAUAACACACACAAUUGAUUCCCUAAAUUUUUAGAAAAUCAAAUCCAUAUCCAUUGUGUGACAGUCUAUCCAUGGCCAUUGCUAACCAAGUGUCCCCAUCUUGGAUUGAGUUGGAGAUAAAGGACUAGCAACACAGACCCAUCACAUGCAACUCCUUUGGGAACGUAAGGGGCCUUUCAUAGCCUACCCAUCUCCCAUUUGUCCUAGUUUCAGAAAUAGUAUGGUCAUUAGUUUGAUCUCCAGCACACUGGUGCAUGCUCAAAGCCCUAAUUCUUCCUAGCUAUGUAAAAUGGCUGCCUCAUGCCUUUCAGUUUCAUUCAACUCAGUCACCCCUGCAUGCGCACAUGGAUUGCAUUAUGUUUACUGGCUUCGAGUACUUGGUAAUUCUUUUUUAGAAUACAAAAUCCAGAUUACCUUUUGGCCAUUGGGUACUGCAUGCAAAAUUUCAUAUAAGAUAUAAAAUAUUUUAUUCUAUUUUUUGAAGUCACAAAAUUGUAGUUCUAUGUGGUUUUGAAUUUUUCUAAAACAUAAGACUAUAGUUGGUAACGAUGAUUUUAAAAUUAUCUUUAAUACGAUAAUCGUCAAUUAUAAUUUUAGACUUAAAUUUAAAACAGUAAUUGAUAAUUACGGUUUUGAUCCUUUUUUUAAUAAAUAAAUAAAUAAAUAAAUAAAAAUAAAAACCUCAUGACCAUAAUUACUAAUUAUGGUUUUGAGACAUCCCGGAUGAGAAUCACUAGCUUGGAAAGUAUUUUCAAGCUAGCAAUCUCUCCUUCGCCUAGCCUUGAAGUUGCUGGUCACAAGUGGUGCAUGCAUAAGAGUAUACCUUGGAAUGUCGAGAGAAAAAAUUCAAAGAAUGCAAGAAAGCUAGGGGAAUAAGGAAUUGAUUAUAUAUAUAUAUAUAAUGGGUUGAUCUGAAUUUUGACAGUACUUGUGAAGACCCUUUUCCUCAUAUUACAAUAGUUGCUCUAUUCAGCUUGGCCUAAAAGUUCCAUUCUUCAUCAAUGUCUUGAGGCUAAAUGUGGAGAUUAUGUAAGCAAAAAAUAAAAAAAAUGGAUAAAUGGAUUUAAACUAAAUUGAUCAUAUUGGUUCCAUUUUCAAUAAUAAAAAAGGUUAGUUUAACUUAAGAAUUUUGAAAACCGAUCUUAUUAGUUCGAUUUUCAAUUUUCUUGUUUCCUAAUCGAUAAAAAUUAAAUUAAACCGAUAUUCUAAAACUUAUAUAUAAUUAUUGGAUAUUUGAUAGGUUUUUUUAUGUUAUAUCCUAUUAAAAUAACUCAUUAUUUUUAUAUUAUGAUCAAAUUAAUUCUAAAUUCAAUUACUAUAUUUUUAACAUCAAAUUCAAAUUAAUUUGAAUUAAUUUUAAAAAUAAAUUAAACUUAAAACAUAAUAUAAACUCAAAUUAAUGUGCCUUGGGUUUAAAACAAAAACAAAAUCUACAACUGGGCUAACACUAAAAGCUUGUGAAGUUGGCCUAAUCUGCCUGAAAGCCUCAAAAGCAACAUUGAAUGUAAGUUCCUUUACACCUUGUGAAUCAUCUUCUGAGAGAUCUCCAUGAGCUGCAUUGCCUUUAGACAGCCAACAGGGCAGCUAACAAAUUCAAGGUCUAAUUGAUAAUUUAACUUUGUAAAGUACCAACUCAUGUAUAUAUAUAUAGAAAGACUCAUAAUCAAAUAGAACACUUCACUCAAUUAAUCCCUUUUGUGUUUGUUAAUGGAGAAGUCUGGUAAAAAAACACAGCCUUCCCAAUGACAUUUCUGAUGUCCUAAUCUUUCCUUAUUUUGUGGGGAAAGUUCUUGAAGUCCAGCUUUUUAAAUCCAUUUCUUUACCUCAAACAUAAUUUUUAACCAUUCACAUUCUUUUGUUCUUUUGGUGACAAAGCUAUUCGGAUUUGAUGUCCUGAAAAGAACUUCAUAAAUUCAACCAUCAAUUAAAAAACCAGUCAGCAAGAACAAUGCAUCCAAAUAUUUGAUACAAAUAUACUACCAGAUGAUUCAACUCAUAACAAAGUACCCAAUAAAACAAGAAAACCCCACAAAAACACAACCCAAAUAACACAAUAUAACACCCUUUUUAUUGACUCUUUUGGAGGGAUAAUCAUGGCCUCAGAGCUGUGUCCAGCUUGGCUGCUCUGCCUUUUUAUUUAAUAUUUUUUGGGAGGAAACCAUGGAGCAUGCACAGCCAGGCAGCUUAUGCUUGAUCCUUCCUUGUUCUUUUCCACAUAAAACAAUGGUUCAAGAUUGUAAGUCUACAGAGAGCUUGGCAUCAAGGAAUCAAAUGUGAUGUAAUGUUGAACAUCAAACUUGAAAUCCAGAAGUUAACUAGGAGACAACUCAGAAUGCAGAUAUUCUAUUCAAGCUAAGCCAACAAAAGCUAAUCAGUUAGAUUCGGAAUCAGGCAAUCCUUCCUCCAGGUCUAAGGCCAAAUUUGGAGAUACACUACCAUGGUACUGUUGGAUCACCAAAACUGAUGCCGCUGUUGAGAAAUCUGUUGAAGCCAACAAACUCCCCAAAGGCCCCAAUUCUGGACACUCGCUUCUCCUAUCUAGAGGAAGGGGAAUGGCCGCCUUAUCAGGAGCUCGACCCACCAGGAACAGGUUGCAGAAACUAGCCUCACGAAUUGCAGCAAUGGUUUCUGCAGCACUUCUGACUUCUUUCUCCUCAUAUUUUAUGGAGCCAUCUUUGGAUAUCUUCUGCUUGAGCUCAGCGAGACACUCCUCAUCAGGUUUGGAAUUUCCAUCAACUAACUCAAUCCCCUCUGCAGUCUCAUGCUCAACUAAGAAGCGAAUGACCAUUAAAUUGAUACCAGGAUGCUCAGCCAUGCGAAUCCCAUAAGCAAGAGCUUCACGGUCAUCAUGGCCACCAAAGAAGAGUACUGUGAUGAAAUAAGAAACAUUACUUGCUGAUACAUGGGUGGUACCACCAAGCCCGCGGUCUACUAGGAUCCCAACUGAGCAGGCUGCAUGUUCAAGAACCCUACGGUUAACCCAACGGAAGUCUGUUCGUGUAGUCUCAAGUGAGCCAUCCACCCUCUGGUGCUUGUGGAAUGGUAGAAUGAUUAUAGCAACCCUCUUCCUAUCAGCAGUGGUACAAAUGUCCUCGUGCAUGUCAGAUAUUGAAGAUAUGGAAGUCAUUGGCCGGACAGACACUUGGCUUAGCUGCUGGAAAGCCUCAAAAGCCACAACAAUCUGGUUGGACUCUGAUCGAACACCCUUGUUCCAAAAGGGUAGUCCAUUCUUCCUCACCUUGUGUACCAUCAUUAUAGCUGACGAUCUCUCAGAGAACUCCAUUAGAUGCAUUGCAUAUAUGCAAAGUCCCUCAUGCUUGUUGGUCCCCCUUGAGGCCUCAAAGAGAUUUAUCAUUGAUGGGAUAUUUCUUGCACCAUGGAAACAUGCCAUAAUUCUAAGCUCAGUGUUUGUGUUUUUCCUUUCAACUGUUCUUUGCUUGUGGUCAGUGUUUCUUUCCCUUUUAGCUGGCUUAUACACAGCCACGACUAGAGGUGUGGUGAUAAAUGUUGUAAAAAGAGCCAUUAGAACCAUUAUGGCAAAUGUCUGGUCAUUUAAUACCUGCAAAUUCAAUCAGAAAAAACCACAGGAUGAUGUAUAGCAUAUGAUAAAAUUUUAAAAAAUCAAAGCUUCUCAACCUUCAUUAGUAAUGAAAAGGACAAUCAUAUUACCUUUCGAUCUUUACCAAUGUUGAGGACAAUGAGCUCCACCAAGCCUUUACUGUUCAUUAGGAACCCCAGUGCCAGAGCUUCACGCAGAGGCAUUUUGAAUGAAAGGGAAACCACAACAGUGCCCACAAUUUUCCCAAUGCAGGCUGUAAAUAUGACCAAGACCAGGAGAGCCCAUGACUGAAGCCCUUGAAUUGUAGCUACAUUGGUUUUCAAUCCACUGGAGACAAAGUAAAGUGGCAGAAAGAGGCCAGAUACAAGAUCUUCAACUUUCUCCAGAAGAGCGCUUGCAAAUGGCCCUUCCUUUGGGACCAGAAUUCCAACCACAAAAGCCCCAAACAUGGCAUGGAUCCCAAUGGCAUCAGUAACAACCCCAGCUGCCAGAACAACAGCUAAUGUAGAACAUAUAUACAUCUCAUCCACUGGCUCACCUUCAUGGCAUCGCCUGGCCAUCCAUUUGAAUAUUGGUGGGAGAAUGAGACUCGCACAAAUAACAAAGCCACACCCACAUAAGAGAACCCAGAAUGGCACAAUGGGAGACUGUUUACUGCCAGAUAAGGAAAUAGCAAGAGCAAGUAGAAUCCAUGCAGCCACAUCAUUAACGGCUGCAGCUGACAUUGCCAUUCUGCCAACAUCAGUAGUUAAAAGUUUCAGCUCAGCUAAUAUACGGGCUAAGACAGGGAAGGCAGUUAUGGAAAGUGCGACACCCAUGAAUACAAGAAAGGAGGUCCCAUUGACCCCUUUGGCUAUGGUUUCUCGGAGAACAAAUGAUGUGCCAAUUCCUAAUGCAAAAGGGAGGCUGAUUCCGGCGAUGGCAAUUCCAAGGGCUUUCUUUCCAGUUCGACGAAGAGACUUAGGAUCCAACUCUAGGCCUGCAAGGAAUAGAAAGAACAGGAGUCCAAGGUUGGCUAGAGUGUCCAACACUGUGAGGCUUUGUGAUGGGAAUACUGCGUGCAGAUAGCUCUCGCUUCGACCCAGAGCUGAUGGCCCAAGUAGUAUUCCUCCCUGCCAAAUGAGCAGCAGAAUGUAAGGUAAAAUUUUCAAGGUAGUCAGUAUUUAGCAUAGGUAAUAACAAAUACAAAAUUGUGAUUUGAAGAAAAUAAAUCCCGUUCUUGGAAAAUUUGUGAGAAAAUGUUAGCUAAAAAAAUAAAGAGGAAAAAAAAUAUAAGAAAUGAAAAGUGAAGGAAAAAAAAAUUAAAGUUAAUAAAAAAAAUUUCAAAGAUUUUCUCAAACUCAUUUUAAUUGUUUUUCUUAUUUUAUAUAGAGAUAAAAUAAUUUUAAAAGGCUAAGUUUUACCAUGGAAAAUAUAAAAGAAAAUUAUAUAUAAUUAAAAUUAAUUAGAAAUUAAUACAUUUUCAAACUAUUUAAUCUUUAUAUAAAAAAAGAAAAUAAGUUAAAUGAGUUUGAAAAAAUAUUUGAAAAUAAUUUAUUAACUUUAAAUUUUUUUUUUUUCACUCAAAUUUUCUCUUAAAUUUUCUAAAGACCAGACAUAGGAUUAGCAUUUUUUUUUUCCUUAGUGCUUUCCUAGAACCAAAAAUAACAAAAUUAUACCACCCAUCGCAUGGCUAAGUUAAAAAUCAUUUUUCUUCUUUAGCAGCCACAAGACUUUGAACUACAGUAAGUUAGCAGGGUCAAGAAGAAAAAUAUUCAGACUAAAAUCAAAACUAAAUAGUACUCUUUUGCCUAACUGCUUGCAAAUAAGUUGACCCUAGGAAUCAAAAAUAAAGAUAUCCAACAGCUAAGUAUUUGGACAUUAAACAAAGUGAUGUACAUGAUUCAGAUGUGUGACUAAGUUCAGAAAAUGAGAGUAAAUCCAAACAAGAUAUUUUAUUUUGGAUUUUUUGUCUUUUCCAUCUUUGGCAUCAUCGAUUUUCUGGGUUCAAAUGCAAAUACAGCUGGCUAUAAACUGAAAUACUCCAAUACUUGACUUCUACGCCAUAACUGUGGGAAUUGAAUUAUGUUGCAAUGAGAAUAGAACACCACAAUUGCAGGGGAAAGAACUAAGUUUACAUGGCAUAAAAAGGAAGAACAUACCACAAUCUCUGCAAUCACUCGUGGCUGCCUUAGCGGUCUGAAAAGAUAAGCAAGACCUCGUGUAACAACAAGCACCAGGCAAAUCUGCAAAAUGGCAAGAGGGAGCGCAAAAUGAAGAGGAUUAUCCCCUUGAAAAAUGCCAUUAGACACCGACUUCAUCGGAGAUGGACAUGCAUGCCCAGCUGAAGAAUUGGUAGCCAUUACACCAAAACAACAUCAACAGAAACCAGCAAUUUUCACUUCAGCCUCUGUAGAGAGAAAAAAACAUCUUAUAUCAGACUGCAAAUUCCCAAAAAAAGACAGAACUAUACAAGAGAAAGACCACAAUACAGGGUAUCUCACUGUUUACCAAUAACUACUAGAAAAUGAAAAAAUAAUUUGUAUUCCAAGCAACCUCUCCAGUAUGCUUCUCUAACACACUUGGUGGAAUACCUUGCAACUUCGCCUUUUAUGUAGGAGAAGCAAAGCAGAAAGCUUUAAGUGAGUGAAUGGCAUCACUCCUUGCUAAUAAGAUAUAUCUACAGGCCCCAUAAAUUAGAUCAACCAUUUUUUUUCCUACUCAGUGAAGCUAAUUACACAAAAAGACUUCUAAUUUUUUCUAUCAAUUUUAUAAAAUAGUUCUAUUAGAACCUUUUUUCCAGUUUUAAAAUAUUUUAAAAUAUAUAUAUAUUCGAAAAUAUUUAUAAAUUUUAUGCACCCCAGAAAGCAAAUCUAGGAAUAAUAUGAGCAAGGAUUCCUAUCAAACAAACAACUACUUUGUUUUCUCCUUUCCGUACUAAAAAAGAAAUGGGCUUCAACUAAAGCCCUCUUGAAAAGUGGUCUUCAACCUCUGAAUCCGGCGAUGCCAGCGAAUACUGCCAGAACACCGGUAGUAAGGAAGCACCGAACUAUUUGAUUGGCGCCAGAGACGACUCCAGCCUCUGACUUCGAUCAGAUCUCGGGAAAAGAGGUAAAAAUUUGGAAUUUCUUGAUUGCAGAAAAACACACAAAAACUAUGAAUCCUUGAUGAUGAAAACGAUGGAGUAUGAAACUGUUACGACCACCUCGACCACGGCUUCCAACACGUUUGCCACGAGGAGCUAGUUGUAACAAACCUGAUCAAGAGAAUAAAUAUGGUUUUAAUUCGAGGAAAAACCAGACCUCCCAAUAGCAAAUUGCUAUAUAAUAUUCUGAUUGUCCCCAUUGAUAUGCCGUGAAGCUCUAUAAAUAGCUUUACAAAGUUAAACAACUUCCACAUCCCUAAACCAAUCAUCAUAAGGAUAAACACUAUUCCUAACCAAACUCUUAAUACUUCAAUCUGAUAACAAUUCAGAUUGCUAUUAUUAUCCUAAAACAAAUAAAAAUAAGAUAAUUAAAUAAAAAAUAAGAUAAUCCUAACACAAUCCUACUCAGUAACUCCUCUGCCUCGUGAAUACAACAACUCCUCUUGCUAGUGGACAACAUUCCACGAGGAGUUAUGGUGAUUCUUUGUUGUAACAAACCUGAUCAAGAUAAUAAAUAUGGUUUUAAUUCGAGGAAAAACCAGACCUCCCAAUAGCAAAUUGCUAUAUAAUAUUCUGAUUGUCCCCCAUUGAUAUGCCCGUGAAGCUCUAUAAAUAGCUUUACAAAGUUAAACAACUCCCACAUCCUUAAACCACUCAUCACCUAGAUAAGAAUAAACAUUAUUCCUAACCAAACUCUUAAUACUUCAAUCUAAUAACAAUUCAGAUUGCUAUUAUUAUCCUAAAACAAAUAAAAAAUAAGAUAAUUAAAUAAAAAAUGAGAUAAUCCUAACACAAUCCUAUUCAGCAACUCCUCUGCCUCAUGAAUACAGCAACUCCUCUUGCUAGUGGACAUAACAGAAACUGUGGCAAGACUCUAGCCCUUCUGACUGGAACUGAACUUUUCCUUAAAAAGUUAUGGGAUGAACAAUUUCAAGGACUCACAAAAUCUCCAUAAUUUGCUAUUUUUUGAACCUUUCUGAUGAAAAAAAAUGUAAUUUUGGAACCUAGGGCGGACUGAUGAGAUCUGUGGGGCUCCACUUUGGGAUAUUUGUGCUGGAGAUGAUUCAAUCCAAAAUCAAAUCCCAGACAAUGCUAAUGAAGAUGAUGAUGAAUCGAUUGAAAUGAAGCGUGGUUGUUUAUCUCAAGAUUUAAUGUAAUGCAAAAACUCAGAUAACCCUAAUCUCAUCUUCAUCGUCUCAAAAUUUAAUCAAGAAUCUGGGAGAAAUUUUCCUGGAAAAAAAAAAUUCUAGGCAAAGCUCGAUUCACAGUUUUGAUCAUGAUUACAGCAAUACCAGUUAUAACGUUGAAGACGAAAGAAAAGCUUCCUGGAACUUCCUCGAAUUUUUUUGGGAAAAAAAAAAUCUGGUAAAGCUCGAUUCACAGUUUUGAUCAUCACAUAUACAACAUUACAUCAAUAUCAGUUACAAAGUUGAAGAAAAGGAAAAAGAGAAAGAAAGAAGAUGAAGAAACCAAGCGAAAAGGAGAAAAAAAUGUCAAAGACUCACCCAACGGAAUGACAAAGUGCUCUCAUGGAUUCUCCACCCUCAUUAGUGAUUUUAAGUGCAAAUCUCCUAUUUGAUUUGAACACCAACUGAAAAUUGGAUUUGACUUGAACACCAACUGCUUUAUGAAAUGCCCUCAAGAUUUUGGGAAACUGAAAAUAUUUAAUUGGAUAAUAUCUUACAAUUAAGUCAACUUUAAUCGCUGAUCAUCUUGCCUUUUAAAAUACUAGUUCAUUAAAAUAAUAUCAUUUUUUUUUUUACAAAUAAUACUUAAUUAAAUUUGUUUAUACCAAGAAAUCCUAAUAUUCCAUGGGCUCAAUCCAGCAACGAGUUGACCCUCUGGCUUUCGACCCACAACAAACAUGGUGCAGCGGCGGUAUUCACGGAUGAUUUCGAUGGCUUCUGCAGCAUUUUUUACGACUCUUUCUUCCAAUUUGACCGAGCUGUUGUGUGACGUCUUGUUCUUGAAUUCAGCCAGGAAGUUUUCGUCCAAUGAGGAGUUGGAGUAGGGAUGUGGGUCAGGCGUGAGGGCCUCCUGGGUGUCUGGGUGGAAUAGGAAGCGAAUGGCUACUAGACUGAUGCCGGGAUGCUCAGCCAUGCGUGCGCCGCACUAGACGGCUUCACGUUCGUCGCAGCCCACUUGGACCGUUCCACCGAGGUCGCGGUCGACUAGGAUCCCAACUGAGCAUGGAGCAUGCUCGAGGACCUUUCUGUUGACCAUGCGGAAUUCACGUCUUCUAGUCUCCAAUGUUCCAUCAAAUCUCUCUGGUGCUUAUGAAAUGGGAGGAUGAUGAUCGCCGCCCUUUUCCUUUCAGCACUAGUGCAGAUGUCCUCGUGGAUGUUGGACAAGGCUGAAAUUGCUGUCAUUGGCCUGAUAGACACUGUGCUGAGCUGCCCGAAAGCCUCAAACGCCACAAUUAAUUGGUUGGAACCAGAGCGCACGGCCUUGUUCCAAAAGGGUAGCCCAUUCUUUCUUGCCUUGUGAACCAUCAGUAUUGCAGAUGACCUCUCUGACAGCUCCAUGAGGUGCAUUGCAUAGACACAAAGUCCUUCCCUCUUCCCGGUUCCACGUGAAGCCUCAACGAGAUUGAUAAUUGUAGGAAUGCUGUUUGCACUCUGGAAACAAACCAAGAUUCGAAGUUCAGCAUAGGGGUUCUUCUAUCAAUUGUUCUGUGAUUGUAAUCGGCUUUACUUGUCCUUUUAGCCGGCUUGUAUACUGCUAUAACUAGAGGUGUUGUGAUAAAGGUUGUGCAGAGAGCCAUGAGAACCAUGAUGGCAAAUGUUUGAUCAUUCAAUACCUGCAAAAAUCACCAUUGAAGUACAAGUUAGAAAUAAACCAUUGCAACAAAUCGGUGAUUGCAAUAAAGCUUAUGUUCUACCUUUCUCUCUUUACCAAUGUUGAGGACGAUGAGCUCCACCAAGCCCUUGCUGUUCAUUAGGAACCCCAGAGCUAGAGCCUCCCCCCGAACAGGCAUUCUCCAACUAAGGGAGACAGCAACGGUUCCUGCAAUCUUCCCCAAACAGGCUGUAAAUAUGACCAAAACAAGGAGACCCCACGAUUGAAGCCCCCUAAUUGUGGCCACAUCAGUCUUCAAUCCGCUUGAGACAAAGUACAACGGAAGGAGGAGGCCAGAUACAAGAGUUUUGGGUCAAAAUGGCCCAUUUUAAAAAAAAAAAAAAUUGUAACAUGUAACCACUUUUUAAAACUUAUAUUUAAAUUGGUCUCUUUUAUGCCACGUAGGUACAAUAUCAUUAAAAAAUAUAUUUUUUUUAUCAUUUUAGUUAAAACCGUAGUUGGCAACUGCGGUUUCAUAUUCUACGGCUUCAUUUUUUAACUAAAGCCGCAGUUGACAAUUACGAUUUCAUUUUUAAACCAAAUCCGCAGUUAUCAACUGAGGUUUUAAUUAAUUUUUUUAAUUUAAAAUUGAAUUAAAAAUUAUUAAAUUACAAUUUAUGAUUGAAAUUUAAAAAAUAUAUUUAAAUAAUAAAUUAUUUAUAUUUAAAUUUAAAAAUCUAAUAUUGCUUCAACAAAUAUAAAUUGAUAAAUAGAAAAUAUUAUAAAUAAAUGUUUUAUUUAUUAAUAAAUUAAUAAUCUUAAAAUAAUACAUUUAUAUAACAUAUAAAUAAUAUAUAAAAUUGUAAUUUAAUAAUUUUUAAUUAAAUUUUAAAUUUAAAAAAAAAUUAAUUAAAGUCUCAAUUGACAACUGUGACUUUAACUAAAAUGAUGAAAAAAAAUAUUUUUUAAUGAUAUGAUGCUUCCAAAUAAACUAAUUUGAAUAUAAGUUUCAUUUUUAGAUGUUACAAUUUAAAAAAAAAAAUAAAAAAGGAGGGUCAUUUUGACCCAAAACUCCAUAUACAAGGUCCUCACUUUUUCCACAAGAGCACUUGCGAAAGGACCUUUGGGGACCAAAAUUCCCAUCACAAAAGCACCAAAGAGUGCAUGAAUCCCAAUGGCAUCGGUAACAAACCCAGCUGCCAAAACAGCAGCUAAAGUAGCACAUACAUACAUCUCAUCCACAGGCUCACCCACAGGGCAACGCUGAGCCUUCCAUCUGAAUAUUCGUGGGCCAAUGAGUGAACAGCAAAGGACAAAACCAAAUCCACACAAGAACACCCAUAAUACUAUUAUGGGGUAAUGGCCAGUACCAGAGAGAGCAAUGGCAAGAGCAAGUAGAAUCCAUGCAGCCACAUCAUUGACAGCAGCAGCAGACAUGGCCAUUCGGCCAACAUCAGUUGUUAAAAGCUUGAGCUCUGCAAGGAUACGAGCCAAAACAGGGAAGGCAGUGACAGAGAGAGGGCCACCCCCAUGAAUACAAGAAACGACCUUCAUCUACACCCUUGGAAAUCGUUGCUCUGAGGACAACAGAUAUACCAACUCCUAAAGCAAAAGGAAGGCUGAUUCCCGCAACAGCAAUGCUAAGAGUUUUCUUUCCAGUGCGACGGAGGGAGUUGAGAUCUAACUCUAAGCCUACAAGGAAUAGAAAGAAGAGAAGACCAAGGUUUGCCAGAGUAUCCAACACUGUGAGGCUUUGAGGUAGAAAAAUCGUAUGCAAAUAGUUUUUGUUGCGACCCAGAGCUGAUGGACCAAGCAAUAUUCCUCCCUGCCAAAGUGCAAAUAAAAGUUUAUUUCUCCACCAUGCAAUGAAUACACAGAAUCUGUGCUUAUAAAAUAAGUGCAAGGAGAACAGAUUUGAGUGAUUUGGUAGAUAUUUCAUCUAUUGAUUUAUUUGAAGCAUCGGUCUUUCAAACUUGAAAAACCAUAACCUAAAAGAACAACAAUGCAUUCAAGGUGAAGGAUAUAGUAAAAAGAACUUACAAUAAUCUCUGCUACCACACGAGGUUCUCGCAGUGGCUUCAGAAGAAAAGCAAGACAGCGAGUAACCACAACUACAAGGCAUAUCUGCACAAUAACUAGAGGGAGAGCAAAAUGAAUGAGAUUAUCCCCCUCGAACACCCCAUUUGAUGUGGCCUUGGUGGGUGGUGGGCGGUGGGCGGUGGGCGGUGGGCAAGUCACAUUUGUUGCCAUUUUUCACCGAAACAAAGCAGAAUUCAAACAGAUGAAAACUGCCACUUCUCACUUCAUUUCCCGCAUCAUAUCACAAUCAAGCCAUGAAUUCCAAGCUCUAGACCAGUCUUCAAAACAUAGGCAGCCAACAAUCGUCUUAAAUCGCAUUAAUUUAUGAAUGAAGUGCAUGUGAUGAACAUCCAAAUAUGGUAAUGAAAAUGAAGUGGUCAAUGGAAAAGUCAUCACCACAGCCUGUAAAAUGCCAAAGUCUUUGUCAUGCUUGGUUGAGAUUAAAUAUUUUUUUUCAAGUAUAUCAAUAUUUUUUAAAUUUUUUGUUCCUUUUGCUUGCCAUGUGUCUUAACCCUAUUGGCUUAAAAAAGUGGGUAUGUUUUAAAUGACCUUUAUAAUCAAACCCCCAAAAAAAAUUGUAAAAAAGAAAUGGUGAAAUUGGUUGAACUCAUGGGUAUGAAGGAAAUUGGGAGAAAGCAUAAAAGUUAUGUAGUUUAAACUUUAAAUCCAUACUAAAUAUGGAAAUGGAAUUCAAUUCAAUGCACAUAUUUCUAGCCUUUUCUAGGCUUCCAAACAAAGUUAUUAUUAGAGGGCUCCUCGCAUCAUAAAGUAAUAUUUUAUACAAUUUUGGCACUCUUUGGGCCAUUAAUAACAUUUGUAUAUCUCAUGACAAAGAUAAAAGAUACUAUUAUGCUGAUUUUUUUAUAUUAUUUAAUUGAAUAGUUAGGGAAGGUAUAUAUACAUAUAAUUAAUUUUAAAAUGAUUUAUUUUUUAUUUUCUCAUUUUAAACUAAGAUAAAAUUAUAAAAAAAUGAUAAUAUCUUAUUUAUUUACAAAAUGUAAUUAAAAUAUUUAAAUAACUUUUAUCAAAAUAAAAAAUUAUAGGGGCAGUGUGGUGGGAUGGGUAUGGCAAAUUCUGAAAGGUGAGUGGGAUGAUUGGCAUCCUGCCUUGGUUUAGUUUGAGGUAAACAUAACUAAAUAAAUAAUGACAAUUGGAUUUGAUUUGAACACCAACUGUUUUAUGAAAUGCCCUCAAGAUUUCGGGAAACUGAAAAUAUUUAAUUGGAUAAUAUCUUACAAUUAAGUAAAUUUUAACAUCCAACGCCUUUUAUUUGUUUAUACGAAAGCAAACUAGACUUGAUGUGGAAAGAAGAAAUCCGAAUGUUCCUUGCGGAAGGUAGAAAGCUAAUGGCGCUUUUAACAGUUUUCCACCACCAGCCACCACUUCUUAGGAAAUAUCUGAGUUUGAAAACGACCUGGGUUGAUAUUGCUGCACAACAAGCACUGAUGCAGCUGUGGGAAUGCCACCACAAGUCAGCAAACUGCCCACCGGCCCCAGUUCCGGGAACUCGAUCAGUGGACUCAAUCCAGCAACGAGUUGACCCUCUGGCGUUCGGCCCACAACAAACAUGGUGCACCGGUGGUAUUCGCGGAUGAUUUCGAUGGCUUCUGCAGCAUUUUUUACGACUCUUUCUUCCAAUUUGACUGAGCUGUUGUGUGACGUCUUGUUCUUGAAUUCAGCCAGGAAGUUUUCGUCCAAUGAGGAGUUGGAGUUGGGGUUGGGGUGUGGAUCAGGCGUGAUGGCCUCAUCCAGGGUGUCUGGGUGAAAUAGGAAGCGAAUGGCCACUAGACUAAUGCCGGGAUGCUCAGCCAUGCGUGCACCGUACGAGAGGGCUUCACGGUCGUCGCAGCCGCCAAAGAAUGGGACUGUGAUGAUGGAGGAGACGUUGCUUGCAGAUACUUGGGCCGUUCCACCGAGGUCGCGGUCUACUAGGAUCCCAACUGAGCAUCGAGCAUGCUCGAGGACCUUUCUGUUGACCACCCCGAAUUCACUUCUGCUAGUCUCCAAUGUUCCAUCAAAUCUCUGGUGCUUAUGGAAUGGGAGGAUGAUGAUCGCUGCCCUUUUCCUUUCAGCACUUGUGCAGAUGUCCUCGUGCAUGUUGGACAUGGCUGAAAUUGCUGUCAUUGGCCUGAUAGACACUCUGCUGAGCUGCCCGAAAGCCUCAAACGCCACAAUUAAUUGGUUGGAACCAGAGCGCACGGCCUUGUUCCAAAAGGGUAGCCCAUUCUUUCUUGCCUUGUGAACCAUCAGUAUUGCAGAUGACCUCUCUGACAGCUCCAUGAGGUGCAUUGCAUAGACACAAAGUCCUUCCCUCUUCGCGGUUCCCCGUGAAGCCUCAACGAGAUUGAUAAUUGUAGGAAUGCUGUUUGAACUCUGGAAACAAACCAAUAUUCGAAGUUCAGCAUUGGGGUUCUUUCUAUCAAUUGUUCUGUGAUUGUAAUCGGCUUUACUUGUCCUUUUAGCCGGCUUGUAUACUGCUAUAACUAGAGGUGUUGUGAUAAAGGUUGUGAAGAGAGCCAUGAGAACCAUGAUGGCAAAUGUUUGAUCAUUCAAUACCUGCAAAAAUCACCAUUGAAGUACAAGUUAGAAAUAAACCAUUGCAACAAAUCGGUGAUUGCAAUAAAGCUUAUGUUCUACCUUUCUCUCUUUACCAAUGUUGAGGACGAUGAGCUCCACCAAGCCCUUGCUGUUCAUUAGGAACCCCAGAGCUAGAGCCUCCGGAACAGGCAUUCUCCAACUAAGGGAGACAGCAACGGUUCCUGCAAUCUUCCCCAAACAGGCUGUAAAUAUGACCAAAACAAGGAGACCCCAUGAUUGAAGCCCCCUAAUGGUGGCCACAUCAGUCUUCAAUCCGCUUGAGACAAAGUACAACGGAAGGAGGAGGCCAGAUACAAGGUCCUCAACUUUUUCCACAAGAGCACCUGCGAAAGGACCUUCUUUGGGGACGAGAAUUCCCAUCACAAAAGCACCAAAGAGCGCAUGAAUCCCAAUGGCAUCAGUAACAAACCCAGCUGCCAAAACAGCAGCUAAAGUAGCACAUACAUACAUCUCAUCCACCGGCUCACCCUCAGGGCAACGCUGAGCCAUCCAUUUGAAUAUUCGUGGGGCAAUGAGUGAACAGCAAAGGACAAAACCAAAUCCACACAAAAACACCCAUAAUGCUACUAUGGGGGAACGGCCAGUACCAGAGAGAGCAAUGGCAAGAGCAAGUAGAAUCCAUGCAGCCACAUCAUUGACAGCAGCAGCAGACAUGGCCAUUCGGCCAACAUCAGUGGUUAAAAGCUUUAGCUCUGCAAGGAUACGGGCCAAAACAGGGAAGGCAGUGAUAGAGAGGGCCACCCCCAUGAAUACAAGAAAUGGACCUGCAUCUACACCCUUGGAGAUGGUUGCUCUGAGGACAACAGAUGUACCAACUCCUAAAGCAAAAGGAAGGCUGAUUCCUGCAACAGCAAUGCUAAGAGCUUUCUUUCCAGUGCGACGGAGGGAGUUGAGAUCCAACUCCAAGCCUACAAGGAAUAGAAAGAAGAGAAGACCAAGGUUUGCCAGAGUAUCCAACACUGUGAGGCUUUUAGGUGGAAAAAUCGAAUGCAGAUACUGUUUGUUGCGACCCAGAGCUGAAGGACCAAGUAAUAUUCCUCCCUGCCAAAAUGAAAAUCAAAGUUUAUUUCUCCACCAUGCAAUGAAUAUCAGGUUUUCCCAAACAGCAGUGUGGAGUAUAUUAGAAGUACCAAGAACUUCUAACUUCAAGAAACCCCUUUAAUCCCAGAAAACAAAAAUGUCAAUACAAAAUUUAUUCCUUGAGUUUAAUUUCUCACUGUUAUUUUAAAGCUGUUAGUGAGAAAAGCCAGUUACAGUUUUCUGUUCUCAAAGGCAUAAACCUGUUUUUCCAAAACAUGUCUGGGAAAUUUUGGACAAAAAACAGCCUUCUUAGGAUAGUUCUAAAAGGAAGGGCUUAAGGUAAUUAUAUAAAUACUAAGAAUAAUUGAAAAUAAAAAGAACUUAUUUGGACGGAAAGAGAACGAAUUUUGAAGAUGAAUGCAUUCAAGGUGAGAGAUAGAGUAAAAAGAACUUACAACAAUCUCUGCAAUCACGCGAGGCUGUCGCAGUGGCUUCAGAAGAAAAGCAAGACAGCGAGUAACCACAAGCACAAGGCAUAUCUGCACAAUAAGUAGAGGGAGGGCGAAAUGAAUGGGAUUAUCCCCCUGGAACACCCCAUUUGAUGUGGCCUUGGUGGGUGGUGGGCAAGUCACAUUUGUUGACAUUUUUCACCAACAACGCAUGAGAAUUGCCAAUUCUCACUUCACUUCCUGCAUCAUUCCACAAUCAAACUAUGAAUGCCAAGCUCUAGCCCACCUCACUAUUCCUCUUAUAAAUCCAUUCAUGAAUCAUCAUCUGAUAAGAUCUGGAAAAUGCUUUUAAAAAGCUAAAGAAUUUGUAAAGACAUUUUUAGAAAAAAAAUACUUCAAAUAGAAAUAUUUUCAAAUCAUUAUUAGUUGGAUCUUCCUUGUUUUGAAUUCUUUAUAGGGAUUGAUAAUUAUUUCUUGAUCUUUAUCAUUUUUCAUAAUUCUUUCCAUAUUUAGAAAUAUUUUCAAACCAUUAUUAGUUGGAUCUUCCUUGUUUUGGAGGAUUGAUAAUUAUUUCUUGAUCUUAUCAUUUUUCAUAAUUCUUUCCCUAUUUAAUCUUUUAUUUUUCAAUAUACAAAAAUUUAAAAAAUAAAGUACAAAAAAAAAAAACCACUUAAAUUUGGUAAGUAAUUGACAAUUACCUGUAAUCAAAUACUCGAUAUUAACAGUAAAUUAAGAAAAAGUGGGUCAAGAAUUUGAUUUGAUCAGAUUUCAGAACAUGGUGGAUUUUGACAGUCCAGCCACGAGGCACAAGACCCCACAACUUCGGCUCCAAAAUUGUUGCCACGUGGCUUUAUGACGUGUCAAUGCUCAGCUUCCUUCCAUUUUUGUUUUUGUUUCUAUUUUAGAAACAAGGUUUGACCUUGGGAUGGGGUUUCUGUCUUUUCAGAAAGACUAUUUAAUUGAAAGUCAACAUCUGCCUUGCUUCACUCACCCGAGAAAUUUGCAUGCAUUAAAUACAAGAUGACAAUAGUACCCUCCAAAGCACAUUAAAUUUUCAAUGCUUACCUAAUUGUCACUUAUCAUUAUCAAAUCGAUAUAUAAAAAAAUUAAAAAAAUUCAGUUUUCUAGGUCAUGUUUCUUAACUGAAUGAUGUUUUAGAAACCAUUUCAUUAAAAAAUAUUUUCGUUUCGACUAGGAUUCUCAUAUUCGAUCAAAUUUUCUAUUUAGAGAAACUAAUAGAAAACAAAACAAAAAAAAAUGAAAUGGAAUGGAAAAGGAAAGAUUUUUCUCAGAUCCCUCCUCAUUUCUCCAUACAAGCACAUAUCCAGAGAGAAACGCAGAGAGAGAAGACAAUGACCUGAUCGUCAUCUUCGUCAUGGAAGGAGUUGUUUCUACCAUAUCUUCAUCAUCGUAACCACAUGGACGCUUCUAGAUCGUUCUCCAAAUCUCCGAGAAGAGAAAUUGCAGAAGCUUCUGGGUCGUUCCUCAAAUCUCCGAGAAGAGGAAUUGCAGAGGAAGAAGAGAGAGAAGUUGGGGUGAGUGCAGGACGGAAGAUGAAGUCGAGCGACAUUAAAUAGAAUCGCGAAAAUCAAUGCUAUGACCAUAUUGCCAUUCUUGAUUCGCUUUAUUUGCAAAAAUACCUCGGAUUUGUUGGCGACACAUUCCAGCCGUCCCUUGAUUUUGGGAGAUCUUGGUUAGGUUGGGAGAAAUUUUUAAUAAUUAAAUAAAAAAUUUAAUAAUAAUAAUAAUUAAAAAAACAACUCUACUGUCUUGCUAACAAAACCCACCAAAAGAAUUUUUAUGAAGGUAAAAAAUAUUUUAAUAUUUUAUAAUUAUAAAUUAAAACUAAAAAUCCAUCAAGUAGAUCAAAUAACAUUAACUCUAUCUAUAUAAAUUUAUAUCAAAUAAAAAAAAAACAACAUUAUCAAAAUAAAUAUAUAUAUAUAUAUAUAUAUAUUCAACAUUAUCAUCAAAUAAAUUAAAAAUCAAAAGGCAUUAUCUUGAAAAUCCAUAAUAAAAUAUCAAGAUAAUUUAAUUGAUGACGAAGAUAUUGUCCGUUGUUUUAGGUUUGAGGGUUGUCCAUUUUAGGUUCGAUGACUCUCACGACUUUAAAAAAAAGGUGUCUACAACUGGGGAUUUUUUUCACUAUCCGUGCGAUUCUGAGAGAAAAGGACAAAGAGAGGGGGGUUGCACCAGAAGAAGGAAAUAAAGAAGAGAAAAACGACAAAAAUCUAAAUCUCAGAAGGGAGUUGGGAGAAGUGGGUGGGGUCAGCCCUGUUGUGGGAAAAGCUGCUACUGGAGGACCAGUCCUUCCUUGGAGCUGUUUGGUUGUUUGGGCAUAAUCUUUUUCCUUUUUCAUUGAAUCUUUUUACGGUUCCUUUAGUUGGUAUUGAAGGUGUAGAGAGGAUCAUGGAAUCCUGAAAUGUGGAUACGGGGUCACAUCGUGCCUAGGAUCAAAUAAUUGCCCUGUCGAGCAUGAAAUGACAAAACUCUCAUUUGGUCCCAUUUAUUCAUUUUAUUUUUCAUUCACCCUACUCUCUUUACGAGUGAAAAACCUCACAAAGGAACGAAGAACCUCUUUAGAGUUGCGGACUUUGUUUACGAUAUCUUGCAUUUUUCUGCAUACAUUAUUCCUUUAAUCUUUCCACGUAAAUUAGACAAAUAAUAUAAGAGAUGUAGAAUCAUUAUAAUCAUGCCAUCAAACCUUGGAAUAAAGGAGAUAUAACUUCAUCUCGGGAUCACCCAGGCCAGAAUAAUUUUCCAACAUUUUCCACAGCCGACACUACUCCUCGGAGAAAAUCUCCGAGUUUGGAAAGGACCCGGGUUGAUACUGCUGCACAACAAGUACUGAUGCUACUGUGGGAAAACCAGGAGAAGUUAGCAAGCUGCCCACUGGCCCCAAUUCCGGGAACUCGGUCUUUGGGCUCAAUCCAGCAACGACAUGACCCUCUGGCAUUCGACCUACAACAAACAUGGUGCAGCGGUGGUAUUCGCGGAUGAUUUCCAUGGCUUCGGCAGCGUUUUUUACCACUCUUUCUUCGAAUUUGACCGCGCUGUUGAGUGAUGAAUUGUGCUUGAAUUCAGCUAAGAAGUUUUCAUCCAAUAAGAAGUUGGGGUUGUCGUGUGAGUCAGGGGUGGGUGCCUCUCCCUGGACGUCUGGGUGGAUUAAGAAGCGAACGGCCACUAGACUGAUGCCGGGAUGCUCAGCCAUGCGCGCACCAUAGGAGAGGGCUUCGCGGUCGUCGCAGCCACCAAAGAAUGGGACUGUGAUUAUGGAGGAGACGUUGCUUGCAGAUACUUGGGCGGUACCACCGAGGCCGCGGUCGACUAGGAUCCCAACAGAGCAUGGAGCGUGCUCGAGGACCUUUCUGUUGACCAAGCUGAAUUCACUUCUGGUGGUCUCCAAUGUUCCAUCAAGUCUCUGGUGCUUAUGGAAUGGGAGGAUGAUGAUUGCUACCCUUUUCCUUUCAGCACUUGUGCAGAUGUCCUCGUGGAUGUUGGACAUGGCUGAAAUUGCUAUCAUUGGUCUGAUAGACACACUGCUGAGCUGCCCGAAAGCCUCAAACGCUACAAUUACUUGGUUGGAACCUGAGGGCAGUCCCUUGUUCCAAAAUGGUAGCCCAUUCUUUCUUGCCUUGUGAACCAUCGAUAUUACAGAUGACCUCUCUGAGAGCUCCAUGAGGUGCAUUGCAUAAACACAAAGUCCUUCCCUCUUCCCCGUCCCACGUGAAGUCUCAAUGAGAUUGAUCAUUGUAGGAAUGUUGUUUGUACUUCGGAAACAGACCAAGAUUCGAAGUUCACCAUUGGGGUUCUUUCUAUCAAUUGUCCUGUGCUUGUAAUCUGCUUUACUUGGCCUUUUAGCUGGCUUGUAUACUGAUAUAACUAGAGGUGUUGUGAUAAAGGUUGUGAAGAGAGCCAUCAGAACCAUGAUUGCAAAUGUUUGAUCAUUCAAUACCUGCAAAAAUCACCAUUGAAGUACAAAUUAGAAAUAAAGCAUUGCAACAAAUCAGUGAUUGCAGCAAAUCUUAUGUUCUACCUUUCUCUCUUUGCCAAUGUUGAGUACAAUGAGCUCCACCAAGCCCUUGCUGUUCAUUAGGAACCCCAGAGCAAGAGCCUCCCGAACAGGCAUUCUGCAACAGACGGAGACAGCAAUGGUGCCUGCAAUCUUCCCCAAACAGGCUGUAAAUAUGACCAAAACAAGGAGACUCCAUGAUUGAAGCCCCCUAAUGGUGGACACAUCAGUCUUCAAUCCACUUGAGACAAAGUACAACGGAAGGAGGAGGCCAGAAACAAGGUCCUCAACUUUUUCCACAAGAGCACUUGCAAAAGGACCUUCUUUGGGCACAAGAAUUCCCAUCACAAAAGAACCAAAAAGAGCAUGAAUCCCAAUGGCAUCAGUAACAAACCCAGCUGCCAAAACAGCAGCUAAAGUAGCACAUAUAUACAUCUCGUCCACUGGCUCACCCUCAGGGCAACGCUGAGCCAUCCAUCUGAAGAUUCGUGGGGCAAUGAGUGAACAGCACAGGACAAAACCAAAUCCACACAAGAACACCCAUAAUGAGAUUAUGGGGGAACGACCAGU